Molecule: transfer RNA, 66 nt
Filed under: Paratectonatica tigrina
Lineage: Eukaryota; Metazoa; Mollusca; Gastropoda; Littorinimorpha; Naticidae
Description: tRNA-Ser
Source: RNAcentral
AAUUGUUUCCGAGGGGACAAUUUGUCUUGAAAACAAAUUUAGAGUGUUCGACUCACUCAACAAUUU